UUAUGCCUAUUUGACGUCGACUAAGUGUAGACACUACAAGAUAUAUUGGAAUUACAUACGGACUUUUACAUAUGGAUCCUGGUCUAUAUGUAAUGCAAUUAUUACAUACAAAUUUUAUAUACGGAUACUGAAGAGAGAGUUACAUACGAAUUUUACAUACUGAUUAUUCGUAUGUAAAAAUUUGUAUUCAAUAUUUGCCUAUAAUGUACGCGUGUGAUGGUGGGAAAGUUACCUAAGGAAAAUGUUUGUAUGUAAUGUGUAGAAUCCGUAUAUAAUGUGAAACAAUUGUUAUUUGUUUAUAUUACAUACAGAUAUAGAAAAUCAUUUUUAAAAGAAAUUGAAUUUUGGUUAAGCCCCUUUUAUUGAAAAUCUCGGCCCUAAUUCACCUCACUCAAACCCUCUCUCGAGCUCUCGUCUCUCAUAGCCCUAAUUCACCCCACUCGAACCCGUACUCGAGCUCUCGCCUCUCGAAACUUCACUUCACAACCUAACUCCACCUUUGUGUCGUCCAUCCUUCAGUCCACCUCUCAUCUCCCAAACCUUCAUUCCACUUAUUCUCUCUUGAGCCUUUCUUCUGUCGAACCGUCACUCCACCUCUCUUGAGCCCUAGCCCCAGCAUUGUUUUGUCGAACCGUCACUCGACCUCUCUUCUCUUGAACCCUAGUCCAUGUUCGAAGGUUUUUCCUCAUCUUGUCUCCGACACCAAAGAAUCUCGUUGACGAAACAAUAUCAGUCACCAAAUAGUUUCGUUCGGCCUCCGUGAUUCUAUGUGAGUCUUCGUUGCCUUAUUGGUUAGGUUGACGUUGAGACCUUCAUGUGGUAAGUGAUACUUCUCUUCCUUCAUUUUCGUUGUAAUUUGUGUGGGUGAAACACGCGAACCCUAAUGUGUGUUAUUUUUGUUUUAAUUGGCCCAUUUUUGGUUCGGCUAACAAGACGUGUUGGAUUGUGACCAGGCAUCGAUUGAUGCGUCUGUGUUGCGGUUAAGGUGAGGCAGAUUACACUUGGUGGUGCGAAGAGCCUAAGUGAAGGAGCCAAAGAAAAAGGUCUUUUUAAUUUCCUCUUUUGCUUGGUUUGCUAUGGUUUUAUACGGUAUUGGUCUUGUAUCAUUUUCCUUAUUCCUUAUUCUCAUUCUCAUUCUAAUGCAUUUAUCAUAGCAG
This 1157-nucleotide long non-coding RNA is filed under the name Vigna radiata. RNAcentral describes it as "long non-coding RNA (VRAD_LNC004986)". Lineage: Eukaryota; Viridiplantae; Streptophyta; Magnoliopsida; Fabales; Fabaceae. The record is from RNAcentral.